GGCGAGUGGCGAACGGGUGAGUAAUGCAUCGGAACGUGCCAUUGAGUGGGGGAUAACGUAGCGAAAGUUGCGCUAAUACCGCAUAUUCUGUGAGCAGGAAAGCAGGGUGACCGCAAGGCCUUGCGCUCUUUGAGCGGCCGAUGUCAGAUUAGCUAGUUGGUGAGGUAACGGCUUACCAAGGCGACGAUCUGUAGCGGGUCUGAGAGUGAUGAUCCGCCACACUGGAACUGAGACACGGUCCAGACUCCUACGGGAGGCAGCAGUGGGGAAUUUUGGACAAUGGGGGCAACCCUGAUCCAGCCAUGCCGCGUGAGUGAAGAAGCCUUCGGGUUGUAAAGCUCUUUCGGCCGGGAAGAAUCGCAUGGCCAAUACCCUGUUGUUGAUUACUGUACCGGAAUAAGAAGCACCGGCUAACUACGUGCCAGCAGCCGCGGUAAUACGUAGGGUGCGAGCGUUAAUGGGAAUUACUGGGCGUAAAGCGUGCGCAGCCGGUUUUGUAAGACAGGCGUGAAAUCCCCGGGCUCAACCUGGGAACUGCGUUUGUGACUGCAAGGCUAGAGUACGGCAGAGGGGGGUGGAAUUCCACGUGUAGCAGUGAAAUGCGUAGAGAUGUGGAGGAACACCAAUGGCGAAGGCAGCCCCCUGGGUCGAUACUGACGCUCAUGCACGAAAGCGUGGGUAGCAAACAGGAUUAGAUACCUGGUAGUCCACGCCCUAAACUAUGUCAACUAGGUGUUGGGUGGGUAAAACCAUUUAGUACCGUAGCUAACGCGUGAAGUUGACCGCCUGGGGAGUACGGCCGCAAGGUUAAAACUCAAAGGAAUUGACGGGGACCCGCACAAGCGGUGGAUGAUGUGGAUUAAUUCGAUGCAACGCGAAAAACCUUACCUACCCUUGACAUGCCAGGAACUUGCCAGAGAUGGCUUGGUGCCCGAAAGGGAGCCUGGACACAGGUGCUGCAUGGGUGUCGUCAGCUCGUGUCGUGAGAUGUUGGGUUAAGUCCCGCAACGAGCGCAACCCUUGUCGUUAAUUGCCAUCAUUUAGUUGGGCACUUUAGCGAGACUGCCGGUGACAAACCGGAGGAAGGUGGGGAUGACGUCAAGUCCUCAUGGCCCUUAUGGGUAGGGCUUCACACGUCAUACAAUGGUCGGUACAGAGGGUCGCCAAGCCGCGAGGUGGAGCCAAUCCCAGAAAGCCGAUCGUAGUCCGGAUUGCAGGCUGCAACUCGCCUGCAUGAAGUCGGAAUCGCUAGUAAUCGUGGAUCAGCAUGUCACGGUGAAUACGUUCCCGGGUCUUGUACACACCGCCCGUCACACCAUGGGAGCGGUUCCGCCCAGAAGUAGGUAGCCUAACCGCAAGGAGGCGCUUACCACG
Molecule: ribosomal RNA, 1374 nt
Filed under: uncultured beta proteobacterium
Lineage: Bacteria; Pseudomonadati; Pseudomonadota; Betaproteobacteria
Description: 16S ribosomal RNA
Rfam family: Bacterial small subunit ribosomal RNA
Source: RNAcentral